GAUGAAGAACGUAGCGAAAUGCGAUAAGUAAUGUGAAUUGCAGAAUUCAGUGAAUCAUCGAAUCUUUGAACGCACAUUGCGCCCGCCAGCAUUCUGGCGGGCAUGCCUGUUCGAGCGUCAUUUCAACCCUCGAGCCCCCCGGGGGCCUCGGUGUUGGGGGACGGCACACCAGCCGCCCCCGAAAUGCAGUGGCGACCUCGCCGCAGCCUCCCCUGCGUAGUAGCACACACCUCGCACCGGAGCGCGGAGACGGUCACGCCGUAAAACGCCCAACUUCUUAGAGUUGACCUCGGAUCAGGUAGGAAUACCCGCUGAACUUAAGCAUAUCAAUAAGCGGAGGA
Molecule: unclassified non-coding RNA, 341 nt
Filed under: soil metagenome
Description: partial contains 5.8S ribosomal RNA, internal transcribed spacer 2, and large subunit ribosomal RNA
Rfam family: 5.8S ribosomal RNA (bases 1-120)
Source: RNAcentral